RNAcentral lists this ribosomal RNA (484 nucleotides) under uncultured bacterium. RNAcentral describes it as "partial 16S ribosomal RNA". It matches the Rfam family "Bacterial small subunit ribosomal RNA", at positions 30 to 507 of the family's 1533-position model. The record is from RNAcentral.
AUUGAACGCUGGCGGCAGGCCUAACACAUGCAAGUCGAGCGGAUGAAGGGAGCUUGCUCCUGGAUUCAGCGGCGGACGGGUGUGUAAUGCCUAGGAAUCUGCCUGGUAGUGGGGGAUAACGUCCGGAAACGGGCGCUAAUACCGCAUACGUCCUGAGGGAGAACGUGGGGGAUCUUCGGACCUCACGCUAUCAGAUGAGCCUAGGUCGGAUUAGCUAGUUGGUGGGGUAAAGGCCUACAAAGGCGACGAUCCGUAACUGGUCUGAGAGGAUGAUCAGUCCCACUAGAACUGAGACACCGUCCAGACUCCGACGGAAGGCAGCAGAGUCAGAUAUUGGACAUUGGGCGAAAGCCUGUCCCAGCCAUGCCGCGUGUGUGAAGAAGGUCUUCGGAUUGUAAAGCACUUGUAGUUGGGAGGAAGGGCAGUAAGUUAUAACGUUGCUGUUUUGACGUGACCAACAGAAUAAGCACCGGCUAACUACGUG